AAUAUUCGACGUCAUAUUAUUGCCACAGCCGUACCACGUUCGAACGGUCAAGUCGAACGAUAUAAUCGAACCAUUUUAGAUGCGUUACGGAGUCUUAGCGCAGAUGCAAAUAACAAUAAAUGGGAUCAACAUGUAACCCAAAUACAACAAGGUAUAAACAGUACAAUAAACAAAAGUACUGCAGCAGUACCUAGUGAAGUAUUUUUUGGAUACAGAAUUCGGAUGAUGAAUGAUAGAAUUGCUGAUGAGGAUAAUACAGAAAAAUCGGUUGACGUGACAGCCUUGCGUGACAAAGUAGAUCAAAACAUUAAAAGAGCUGCUCAAGCACAAAAAGCAGCUUUCGACUCUAAAAGGAAAUUGGCUACUAAUUAUAAUAUUGGUGACUUGGUUGUGAUUAAAAUACCAAGUCACUCAAAUGACGGUCACAGCACAAAGUUAAUGCCAUUGUUUAAAGGACCUUUCCAAAUAACAGAAGUCCUAGGGCAUGACCGUUAUAAAGUAUCCGAUAUGAGAGGAGCGGAGCGGAGUACAAAACGUUAUGAUGGCGUAACCUGCGCAGAGAAUAUGAAGUUUUGGAUACGCAUUUCGGAUGAGGGCGAGGAGGAAGUUGCACCGGAUGUUGUCCAGUAAUCAGGUACUCAUUGAAACACAUCUUCCACAUUAGACCAAUACGAUGUCCGAGGACGACCACGUAUGCAGGACGGCCGGAUGUUGUCGCCACAGUCGUUUCCGCCCGGAAGUACAAUUUGCCGCCGCUAGAGGGCGACACCGAGACGUCAUUCGAACAACGAGCGGCCACUCGAUCAUUCCUUGUCGAAGCGUCGAGCUAGUAACACUCACCUUGUCUUGCUGAAAGCUAUUAUUAUUUUUAAAAAAACAAAGUACAAUUAUUAUUUUUAUAAGUGAAUUUUAUUUUAAAUUGGUAAUAUUGUAAAAGAGUAAAGUAUCAUUUCAAUUAUUAAUAAAUAUGAUUUCACUAUAGAAAAUUGAGCUAUAAUAAUUAUUACGAUGGUGAGAUUGUGUAGGUAAUGUAGCUAAAUAUUAAUAAAAGUGUUUUUGCAGAA
Ostrinia nubilalis (European corn borer) is the source of this 1064-nucleotide long non-coding RNA. RefSeq lists it as uncharacterized. The transcript has 2 exons. Lineage: Eukaryota; Metazoa; Arthropoda; Insecta; Lepidoptera; Crambidae. The record is from RefSeq and is a predicted model, not a curated record.